AUAAAAGUAAUGAUGGGAAGAGUAGGUAUAUGAAUUUAGUUAUAGAGAGCUGGAAGAGGUGAAAGCCGGUACUAAAAAGUAUGCUGAACAUGGCCCCUGAACUAUCUGUCUGAAAUUGAUAUCUACAUUAGGGCAGGUCGGAUUUGCAGCCGUUAAAAAUGCAAGGUGAUAAUUAGUCACUUGCCGAGGUUAUUAUGGUAACAUAAUAAUGAAUUAGGGUGGUAACGCGAGAUAUCCUCGUCCCUUUA
This 248-nucleotide non-coding RNA is filed under the name Maledivibacter halophilus. RNAcentral's name for it is "Clostridium halophilum T-box sequence". It matches the Rfam family "T-box leader". From Rfam's summary of the family: Uncharged tRNA acts as the effector for transcription antitermination of genes in the T-box leader family. Lineage: Bacteria; Bacillati; Bacillota; Clostridia; Peptostreptococcales; Caminicellaceae. The record is from RNAcentral.